GGCGGGUACAGGGUGCGUAUUCCUGUAAUCUAGCUACUCGGAGGCCAGAGUGCGGAAUUUCGUGUGACGGGCAGUUCUAGCAUAUGGCCGCUCAUGUUGAUUGGGCGUCUACGCUAAGCACGGUGCCGAUAUGGAUGACCUGUCGAAGGACGGGUUGUUCAGGUCGACUAAGGAGGGGUGCACCGGUCCAGGGGGAAACCCAGCAGACGAAAGUCCCCACGCGGUGC
Molecule: signal recognition particle RNA, 227 nt
Filed under: Trichobilharzia regenti
Lineage: Eukaryota; Metazoa; Platyhelminthes; Trematoda; Strigeidida; Schistosomatidae
Description: Metazoan signal recognition particle RNA
Rfam family: Metazoan signal recognition particle RNA
About the family: The signal recognition particle (SRP) is a universally conserved ribonucleoprotein. It is involved in the co-translational targeting of proteins to membranes.
Source: Rfam by way of RNAcentral